GUUGGGCCUGGUGGCAGACACCUGUAAUCCCAGCUAUCAGGAGACUGAGGCAGGAGGAUCACAAGUGCAAGGUCAGUCUGGAUAACUUAGACUUAGUGAGACCUUGCCUCAA
This 112-nucleotide small RNA is filed under the name Marmota monax (woodchuck). Lineage: Eukaryota; Metazoa; Chordata; Mammalia; Rodentia; Sciuridae. The record is from RNAcentral.